Molecule: transfer RNA, 73 nt
Filed under: Yersinia enterocolitica (type O:5,27) str. YE149/02
Lineage: Bacteria; Pseudomonadati; Pseudomonadota; Gammaproteobacteria; Enterobacterales; Yersiniaceae
Description: transfer RNA-Asn
Rfam family: tRNA (bases 1-52)
About the family: Transfer RNA (tRNA) molecules are approximately 80 nucleotides in length.
Source: RNAcentral
GAACGGCGGACUGUUAAUCCGUAUGUCACUGGUUCGAGUCCAGUCAGAGGAGCCAAAUUAGAGGAACCCGCUU